AUAAUGUUCGAUUAAAAGGGAAUCCGGUGAGAAUCCGGGACGAUCCCGUCACUGUGAUAGCUAAUCCAAAACAUAUAUGUCACUGGAGUGAAGGCUCUGGGAAGGCGUUUUGGGUGUUGAUGCUUAAGUCAGGAGACCUGCUUAUUUUCUU
This 151-nucleotide non-coding RNA is filed under the name pig gut metagenome. The record is from RNAcentral.